AUUCCAGCUCCAAUAGCGUAUAUUAAAGUUGUUGCAGUUAAAAAGCUCGUAGUUGGACUUGUGGAGGUGCCCAUUGUCCAAAAUGUUUUGGUACGGUUGGGCGCUUCCAUCCUUGGUUGGAACCUGUGGGGCAUUAGGUUGUUUUGCAGGGGAUGGCCAUCGUUUACUGUGAAAAAAUUAGAGUGUUCAAAGCAGGCUUAUGCCGUUGAAUAGAUUAGCAUGGAAUAAUGAGAUAGGACUUUGGUACUAUUUUGUUGGUUUGUGCACCGAAGUAAUGAUUAAUAGGGACAGUUGGGGGUAUUCGUAUUCCAUUGUCAGAGGUGAAAUUCUUGGAUUUCUGGAAGACGAACUACUGCGAAAGCAUUUACCAAGGAUGUU
RNAcentral lists this ribosomal RNA (378 nucleotides) under Pinnularia subcommutata var. nonfasciata. Its description in RNAcentral is "SSU rRNA". It matches the Rfam family "Eukaryotic small subunit ribosomal RNA", at positions 582 to 968 of the family's 1831-position model. Lineage: Eukaryota; Bacillariophyta; Bacillariophyceae; Sellaphorales; Pinnulariaceae. The record is from RNAcentral.